UACGAGGGGGGCAAGUGUUGUUCGGAAUUACUGGGCGUAAAGGGUGCGUAGGCGGUCGGGUAAGUCUGGCGUGAAAUCUCCAAGCCUAACUUGGAAACUGCGUUGGAUACUAUCCGGCUCGAGGAAUGGAGGGGAGACUGGAAUACUUGGUGUAGCAGUGAAAUGCGUAGAUAUCAAGUGGAACACCAGUGGCGAAGGCGAGUCUCUGGACAUUUCCUGACGCUGAGGCACGAAAGCCAGGGGAGCAAACGGG
This 253-nucleotide ribosomal RNA is filed under the name uncultured bacterium. Its description in RNAcentral is "partial 16S ribosomal RNA". It matches the Rfam family "Bacterial small subunit ribosomal RNA", at positions 524 to 776 of the family's 1533-position model. The record is from RNAcentral.